Dreissena polymorpha is the source of this 390-nucleotide long non-coding RNA. RefSeq lists it as uncharacterized. The record is from RefSeq and is a predicted model, not a curated record. The transcript has 2 exons. Lineage: Eukaryota; Metazoa; Mollusca; Bivalvia; Myida; Dreissenidae.
AAACAAGAGUUCCGCGGUCGGAGAUGACCGCAUUGAAGCCGGAUUUUUUAUUUAAAUGACAGGAAAGUACCUUUCGUGUUUUUGUCAAUGCAAUACUUAAAUUACUGAAAUAUUGUUCAAAGGUCAAAAUGAAAUGUAAGUACUUUUCAAGGCAUGAGCAAACCUUGUGUUAUGUUUUGAAUGCAUGCAUAUACAUGAACAACAAUAACAUUUAAGGUCACAGUGACCUUGACCUUAGAAUGAAUGACCUUGAAAUGACCAGUGGUCAUCUAAGUGUGCUUGCAAACCUUCAUGUCAAGUUUGAAGACUCUAUGUCCAAGCAUACCAAAGUUAUAACAAUUUUAACAUUUUAACAUUUAAGGUCACAGUGACCUUGACCUUCAAAUGAAA